Molecule: ribosomal RNA, 617 nt
Filed under: uncultured bacterium
Lineage: Bacteria
Description: bacterial SSU rRNA
Rfam family: Bacterial small subunit ribosomal RNA (bases 1-517)
Source: RNAcentral
CCUACGGGAGGCAGCAGUGGGGAAUCUUGCGCAAUGGGCGAAAGCCUGACGCAGCCAUGCCGCGUGAAUGAUGAAGGUCUUAGGAUUGUAAAAUUCUUUCACCGAGGACGAUAAUGACGGUACUCGGAGAAGAAGCCCCGGCUAACUUCGUGCCAGCAGCCGCGGUAAUACGAAGGGGGCUAGCGUUGCUCGGAAUUACUGGGCGUAAAGGGAGCGUAGGCGGAUAGUUUAGUCAGAGGUGAAAGCCCAGGGCUCAACCUUGGAAUUGCCUUUGAUACUGGCUAUCUUGAGUACGGAAGAGGUAUGUGGAACUCCGAGUGUAGAGGUGAAAUUCGUAGAUAUUCGGAAGAACACCAGUGGCGAAGGCGACAUACUGGUCCGUUACUGACGCUGAGGCUCGAAAGCGUGGGGAGCAAACAGGAUUAGAUACCCUGGUAGUCCACGCUGUAAACGAUGAGUGCUAGUUGUCGGCAUGCAUGCAUGUCGGUGCGCAGCUACGCAUUAAGACGACUCCGCCGUCGGGGAGGGUACGGUACGUCGACGAAGUUAAACGUUAAACGUAAACGAAAGUUAAGUAGGCGNGNGAGAGCGACGACGACGACGACGGAGGGAGGAGG